This 21-nucleotide microRNA is filed under the name Homo sapiens (human). RNAcentral's name for it is "hsa-miR-4671-3p". Lineage: Eukaryota; Metazoa; Chordata; Mammalia; Primates; Hominidae. The record is from miRBase by way of RNAcentral.
UUAGUGCAUAGUCUUUGGUCU